GACGAACGCUGGCGGCGUGCUUAACACAUGCAAGUCGAACGGAAAGGCCCUGCUUUUGUGGGGUGCUCGAGUGGCGAACGGGUGAGUAACACGUGAGUAACCUGCCCUUGACUUUGGGAUAACUUCAGGAAACUGGGGAUAAUACAGGAUAGGAGCUCCUGCUGCACGGUGGGGGUUGGAAAGUUUCGGCGGUUGGGGAUGGACUCGCGGCUUAUCAGCUUGUUGGUGGGGUAGUGGCUUACCAAGGCUUUGACGGGUAGCCGGCCUGAGAGGGUGACCGGCCACAUUGGGACUGAGAUACGGCCCAGACUCCUACGGGCGGCAGCAGUGGGGAAUAUUGCACAAUGGGCGGAAGCCUGAUGCAGCAACGCCGCGUGCGGGAUGACGGCCUUCGGGUUGUAAACCGCUUUCGCCUGUGACGAAGCGUGAGUGACGGUAAUGGGUAAAGAAGCACCGGCUAACUACGUG
RNAcentral lists this ribosomal RNA (468 nucleotides) under uncultured bacterium. Its description in RNAcentral is "partial 16S ribosomal RNA". It matches the Rfam family "Bacterial small subunit ribosomal RNA", at positions 28 to 507 of the family's 1533-position model. The record is from RNAcentral.